UGGGGAAUUUUGGACAAUGGGCGAAAGCCUGAUCCAGCAAUGCCGCGUGUGUGAAGAAGGCCUUCGGGUUGUAAAGCACUUUUGUCCGGAAAGAAAUCCUUGGCUCUAAUACAGCUCGGGGGAUGACGGUACCGGAAGAAUAAGCACCGGCUAACUACGUGCCAGCAGCCGCGGUAAUACGUAGGGUGCAAGCGUUAAUCGGAAUUACUGGGCGUAAAGCGUGCGCAGGCGGUUUGCUAAGACCGAUGUGAAUCCCGGGCAUCAACCUGGGAACUGCAUUGGUGACUGGCAGGCUAGAGUAUGGCAGAGGGGGGUAGGAAUUCCACGUGUAGCAGUGAAAUGCGUAGAGAUGUGGAGGAAUACCGAUGGCGAAGGCAGCCCCUGGGCCAAUACUGACGCUCAGUGCACGAAAGCGUGGGGGAGCAAAACAGGAUUAGAUA
RNAcentral lists this ribosomal RNA (440 nucleotides) under uncultured bacterium. Its description in RNAcentral is "partial 16S ribosomal RNA". It matches the Rfam family "Bacterial small subunit ribosomal RNA", at positions 355 to 784 of the family's 1533-position model. The record is from RNAcentral.